UGGGGAAUCAUGGUCAAUGGGCGAAAGCCUGAACCUGCGACGCCGCGUGAGUGAUGAAGGUCGUAAGAUCGUAAAACUCUUUUCAGGGAUCUUAAAGCACAACCGUCAACAACGGUUGUGUGUGACUCUCCCUGGAAUAAGCCCCAGCCAACUACGUGCCAGCAGCUGCGGUAAUACGUAGGGGGCGAGCGUUAUUCGGAAUUACUGGGUGUAAAGGGUAUGUAGGCGGCCCUUCAGGUCGCGUGUCAAAGUCCAGUGCUCAACGCUGGGUGUGCGCGCGAUACUGACGGGCUUCGGGGCGGAAGUCGCGGAAGAGGCACUCAUGGUUUUCAGCUCCCUGAUUUUCCUGUUUUUCUUUCUUCCGGUCGUGCUGACCGUCAGCCUGCUGCUCAGAUCUUCAUGGCGCAACGCCUGGCUCCUGGCGGCCAGCUUCUUUUUCUAUGCC
RNAcentral lists this ribosomal RNA (445 nucleotides) under uncultured prokaryote. Its description in RNAcentral is "bacterial SSU rRNA". It matches the Rfam family "Bacterial small subunit ribosomal RNA", at positions 355 to 735 of the family's 1533-position model. The record is from RNAcentral.